ACGUAGGGGGCAAGCGUUAUCCGGAAUUAUUGGGCGUAAAGAGCACGUAGGCGGUUUGUCACGUCAGACGUGAAAGUUCGCAGCUCAACUCCAUAUCUGCGUUUGAAACGGGGAGACUAGAGUCUCGGAGAGGUAAGUGGAAUUCCUGGUGUAGCGGUGGAAUGCGCAGAGAUGAGGAGGAACACCGAUGGCGAAGGCAGCUUUCUGGACGAUAACUGACGCUCAGGUGCGAAAGCGUGGGGAGCAAACAG
This 251-nucleotide ribosomal RNA is filed under the name uncultured prokaryote. RNAcentral's name for it is "partial 16S rRNA". It matches the Rfam family "Bacterial small subunit ribosomal RNA", at positions 525 to 775 of the family's 1533-position model. The record is from RNAcentral.